UACGUAGGGGGCAAGCGUUGUUCGGAUUCAUUGGGCGUAAAGGGUGCGUAGGCGGCGCGGUAAGUCGGGUGUGAAAUCUUGGAGCUUAACUCCGAAACUGCAUUCGAUACUGCCGUGCUUGAGGACUGGAGAGGAGACUGGAAUUUACGGCGUAGCGGUGAAAUGCGUAGAUAUCGUAAGGAAGACCAGUGGCGAAGGCGGGUCUCUGGACAGUUCCUGACGCUGAGGCACGAAGGCCAGGGGAGCAAACGGG
RNAcentral lists this ribosomal RNA (253 nucleotides) under uncultured bacterium. RNAcentral's name for it is "partial 16S ribosomal RNA". It matches the Rfam family "Bacterial small subunit ribosomal RNA", at positions 524 to 776 of the family's 1533-position model. The record is from RNAcentral.